Molecule: ribosomal RNA, 498 nt
Filed under: uncultured bacterium
Lineage: Bacteria
Description: partial 16S ribosomal RNA
Rfam family: Bacterial small subunit ribosomal RNA
Source: RNAcentral
GACGAACGCUGGCGGCGUGCCUAAUACAUGCAAGUCGAGCGGACGAUUCGAAAGCUUGCUUUUGAAUCGUUAGCGGCGGACGGGUGAGUAACACGUGGGCAACCUGCCCUGUAGACGGGGAUAACACCGAGAAAUCGGUGCUAAUACCGGAUAACACGAAAUGUCGCAUGACGUUUCGUUGAAAGGCGGCGCAAGCUGCCGCUACAGGAUGGGCCCGCGGCGCCUUAGCUAGUUGGUGAGGUAACGGCUCACCAAGGCGACGAUGCGUAGCCGACCUGAGAGGGUGAUCGGCCACACUGGGACUGAGACACGGCCCAGACUCCUACGGGAGGCAGCAGUAGGGAAUCUUCCGCAAUGGACGAAAGUCUGACGGAGCAACGCCGCGUGAGCGAAGAAGGCCUUCGGGUCGUAAAGCUCUGUUGUUAGGGAAGAACAAGUAACGUAGUAACUGACGUUACUAUGACGGUACCUAACGAGAAAGCCACGGCUAACUACGUG